RNAcentral lists this ribosomal RNA (253 nucleotides) under uncultured bacterium. Its description in RNAcentral is "partial 16S ribosomal RNA". It matches the Rfam family "Bacterial small subunit ribosomal RNA", at positions 524 to 776 of the family's 1533-position model. The record is from RNAcentral.
UACGUAGGGUGCGAGCGUUGUCCGGAAUUAUUGGGCGUAAAGGGCUCGUAGGCGGUUUGUCACGUCAGGAGUGAAAACUCGGGGCUCAACCCCGAGCCUGCUUCUGAUACGGGCAGACUAGAGGUAUGCAGGGGAGAACGGAAUUCCUGGUGUAGCGGUGAAAUGCGCAGAUAUCAGGAGGAACACCGGUGGCGAAGGCGGUUCUCUGGGCAUGACCUGACGCUGAGGAGCGAAAGUGUGGGGAGCGAACAGG